UUUCCGCCGGGGUCGGGUAAUAAAACUCCCCACCAGUCUACCCACACUUGCACCUUCCUCCGCCAUCACGUGCCAUGUGAGGUACAACGUGGGUAAACCCUGGAAUUAGCCGUCGUUAAUCGUGCUUAUUUCGUAACUCUACGAGCUUAGUUAGUUUCGGUGCCGCGGCGACGUGGCGUUCCCGCACGUGGACGAGUUGGAAGACCGGGCUUCGUGCAUGCGGGGCCGCUGGCGGUCCGCUCCGGUUCGGCCUGUCCUUUAUGGACCGUUCGACUCGGCCGGUUUCGGCGGCAAGGCGGACCGGUUCAGCUUGUGCACGUUACACUAGCGACGGGGAACUCCAGUGACGAGAAACGAAGGCCGUGCCUUUCGCUUUGUCGUUACUCUGCUCUGUGCUGCGUUCGACAGGGGAAACCUUCGUACGUGGUGUUCUCCUCGGUGGGAGGGCAGCCAUGCCUGAGAAGCGGAAGCGAGCACAGGUUUUGUCCGUCUCUCAUCGCAGGCUAGUAGAGCAAGUCAGGAAACAUGAUCUGAAGAAGUUUCAGAUGUGAGCUAGCAACGUCUGCUAGAUGUUCGAUAAUAUGUGCCAAAGAUCAGGAUACUGGAAGCAGCAAGCUUGAUGAGUUGCUGUUGGCACUGUGUGCUUGUGAUCUGAUAGUUUCGCGAGACCGACCCUUCGUCGUCGGCCUACAGAAGAGGACACAGUUCGCAGCAGAAGAUGUUUGGGAAGGUGAAUGUUUCCGCAUGCGUUGCAUUUUUGUUCUUUGACGGAUCUCUCAUAAUUCCAAAACCCAAUAUGCUGUGAUAAAAACAACACAUAGUAUUCUACCUGUAUUUUCUUGAGUAAAAAAAAGUAUGAUUGCUCCAUUCUCACACAUGAUUCAUCUGAUAGAAAUUAGAGAAAAGCUUUUUAAUUGCAUGAAAAGAAUCAUUAGUUUGGUGGAAUACCUUUAUAUGACCUUUAAUAUGUUAAAUUAACCUCUAGAUAUAUAGGGUGGUACUAUAACUAGUUGUAGCUUUCAUUUUUCUUUUAGAAGUUUGUGAGCGCAAAGUACAAUCCUUCCAUGCCUUGGACCAUAUUAAGACUUUGCACUUUAUUUUAGAAAGUUACAAUCAUGACAAAGCAUGCAUGUGUGUUGAAAGAAAAUACUGGUUAAGAUUUCUAAAUAGUUCUUCAUCUAUCAUUGUCAUAGAGUCAAUUUGACAACUACAAAGAAUGACACUAGGAAUGCUUUAGAGAUUCAAACUCAUGUGCAAGGAGCUAAAAAGUAUCUCCUAACCUAGACUAGAAUUGUACAAUGAAAGGAUAAUAAUCCUAAGGUCAUAAAAGAGUAGAUGUGAUGAGGUGGUAGACAUUUUAGUAUAUAUUCCUCUAAUUUUAAGUGUAUAAUAUAUAUAUAUAUAUAUAUAUAACCUGAAAACUUACAUAUAUGCUUUAUAGUUUAUCAUGAUCACUUGAUCACAGUUGACUAUCUAACGACGUUGAAACUCUAAUUGGUGCCAAAACAUCUGAUAAAUGUUUUUCCUCUUUUUUUAGGUAUCUAUCUUUCGUCCCUAAUGAUUGAAGGUUAAGGACAUUUUAAAUGUUAAUAUUCUUUUAACUUAAACUAUGUAUUGGUGGUCACAAUUAAUACCAGUUAGCAUGAGUUAUCUACAUGAGCAUUAACCAGAGGUAUAUACAUAAAGGAUCGUCAUAUUUGUGGGACAUAUAUGUUACAGAGGCAAAUACACUGCAUAUUUGUAAGAUAACAUGUCAAAAUCAUCCCCAUCAUUUUUUGUUGACUGAAAUCACUGUCUUUAUUUUUGGAGGGCCGUCAAGUACCAGUCAAUUGGAACAUGCUUUACACAUAAGAAAGUAACUUGGUUGUCUCUUUUCCUUGUAAGAUGGUUGAAGGCUGACUCUAUUCCCAUAUAUGAAGCUGAAAAGAAAAGCAGUACAUGGCAGACUUCAAGCUUAUAUCCGCAACGAGAUAAUGCAUCUUGGGUUGUUGCUAAAACAACAAAAAGCAGAUCUCAUGUGAGUUUGACCAUGGACUGUUCUUGCCCUGUGGCCACCACACCAUCCACUGCAGCAGUGGUGGCUUUUCAUAAGAUUCUACAGCAUCCAGAGUUCCAUGUGGAGCCCAGGCAUGGUGAUGUCUCUGAGGAGAUGUACAAUUUUUGUGUGGAAAGAUGGGGAAGGAAUGAUUCAAUGCUUGGUGAUUGUACUGGCCACCUUCCGAGGGCUCAAAGGACAGACAUCUGGUGGGUCAUCUUUCAGUGGACAGUAAUAUUCAGCAUAUAGUGAGACUUCUCUAGAAAUAUGAGUCCUAGUUUGCCCUGUUUGCUACUGUUUAGAUUGGUAAUGGUUUCAGUUGGAACCCACUUGGAACAAUGGAUAUUCAUAGAUACCAUGAUUUUUUUUCUCACACAAGAUGCAGAAAAAUAAAAAAAUUGCUCCUUUA
This is a long non-coding RNA of Musa acuminata AAA Group (dessert banana), 2444 nucleotides long. RefSeq lists it as uncharacterized. Lineage: Eukaryota; Viridiplantae; Streptophyta; Magnoliopsida; Zingiberales; Musaceae. The record is from RefSeq and is a predicted model, not a curated record. The transcript has 2 exons.